Molecule: long non-coding RNA, 1538 nt
Organism: Mercenaria mercenaria
Lineage: Eukaryota; Metazoa; Mollusca; Bivalvia; Venerida; Veneridae
Exons: 3
Source: RefSeq, a predicted model, not a curated record
GUCUCGCACAUAAUGAAAAAAUAAAUAACCGAUGGUGACACUGAAAGAGAAAUGCUAUAUGAAUUGGAUAGGGGAAAACUUACAAAGCAUAUUGUUCCAGAAGGUUGUAUUAAGAGACUUUCUCUCAUCGUUGGCUGUAAGACAUCAUCGUAAUAAUUAUCGGAUUUUGGAUAAAGGAAGCAUAGUUACUCCUGGGAUGCAUAUAAACACAAACUGACUACUCCAAAGCCAGCAAUGUGCAGAGAAAUGAGUCUAGCGUUUUUAGUUACCGUGAUAUCAUGUUACAUGUCUGCUACAGAAGCUAUGAUAAAUACGGAAACAAUAUUAGGAUGUCAUCCAAGAGAGUAUAAAUUUAAUGCUUCAAAAACUUUAGUGUUGAAUGGACAAAGACUUUCGUGCUGGGAUGUCGUCAAGGUGUAUUCAUGUUGGGGGCGUUGCGAUUCAUUUGAGUAUGGAGACUACAAAAUACCAUAUAGAAUUAGCUACCAUCCGGUAUGUACGUAUACAGGAGAAAUUAAGAGAAAAGUUCGACUCCGUUAUUGCCAUCCGUUAUUCCCGGACAAAUACCGACACUACGAAGUUUUCGAUGCAUCAGGAUGUAACUGUAAACUUUGUAAUUCUAAGAAUACAACUUGUGAAUAUCUAAAUGGAUAAAACAUUAUCUAAAAUCAAAAAGACUAAAAACAUAAACUGUGGCAGAGCAAAAUUGAUAAAUUUUACUUUUAAAGGAUUAAUGAAAUAUUUUGACGAUUGCAAAAUAUCAAUAAAUGAUAUGCAUAUUUUCUUAUGAAUAUUGAAGGUUUUACAAUGUAGAUCUAUCAUAUUUUAUUUUUGUAAUGUUGUCAAACUGCCAUAUUAACUGAUGCGCAGUUAUUACUUUAUACCCUGCAAUGAUGCCCGGAAAGAAGAUUCGCAGAAUAUUAUUAAGAAACGAGAGAUUUUAUUUUCAGCAUUUAAAUGAGUAAUGAUACUUAUGUAAUUAAUAUACGAUUCUAAUAUGGCUGGUUUUGAUUGUAAGUAAACGAAAGACGCGCGGGCCGAUAAGAGAGCAUUAUGACGUUAAUUAUGACGUCAAAAAUUGCCGCAUGGUUCAUGGAUGUAACAUGCAUUCCCACUACCGUCCAUGAACAGGCUGUAUCAAACUAAGCCUGCAACAUUUUCAUUUUUGCCGCGGUGGGGGACAUGUGGAAUUUUCUAUUUUACUGAGGAAUUUAGUUUGUUUUCAGACCCACUACUUUGUUCAAAGGAGGUAACUCCUAAUGCUAUCUAAGCUGAGACCGUGAAAAUGAAAAAUAAAUAGAUAAAACAUAUUUAUUUUUAGCCGGUGAACAAACGGGACAUCUAGUGCGUAGAUAUAAUUUGCAGUCACAAAACAUUUGGUUUAAAAUUCGGAGCUCUUACCAGACUUUUCUUUCCAAAAAUGUUGUGUGUGCGUUCGAUAUGUUACAUCAUCAAAAAUUGUGAAAAUACUGUUACAUAUAGUUCUUAAAUGCUAAUUACGAUUCCACAUAAAAGAAAAUAAAAAUGUAUGAGAAAUG